GAACUUAAGCAUAUCAAUAAGCGGAGGAAAAGAAACCAACAGGGAUUGCCUCAGUAACUGCGAGUGAAGCGGCAAAAGCUCAAAUUUGAAAUCUGGUACCUCUGGGUGCCCGAGUUGUAAUUUGGAGAGGCAACUUCGGAGGGGGCGCUGGCCUAAGUUCCUUGGAACAGGACGUCACAGAGGGUGAGAAUCCCGUGCUUGGCUGGCUGUCCUCCUUCGUGUGAAGUGUCUUCGACGAGUCGAGUUGUUUGGGAAUGCAGCUCAAAAUGGGUGGUAAACUCCAUCUAAGGCUAAAUAUUGGCGAGAGACCGAUAGCGCACAAGUAGAGUGAUCGAAAGAUGAAAAGCACUUUGAAAAGAGAGUUAAAAAGUACGUGAAAUUGUUGAAAGGGAAGCGCUUGAGACCAGACUUGGUGAUAGGUGAUCAGCGGUUGCUUCUGCUCCGUGCACUUGCCUGUUACCGGGCCAGCAUCAGUUGCGACGGUGGGAUAAAGCCUCAGGGAAUGUGGCUCUCUUUGGGGAGUGUUAUAGCCUUGAGGGUAAUGCUGCCUGUCGCGACUGAGGACCGCGCUUCGGCUAGGAUGCUGGCAUAAUGGUCUUCAGCGACCCGUCUUGAAACACGGACCAAGGAGUCUAACAUCUAUGCAAGUGUUCGGGUGUAAAACCCCUACGCGUAAUGAAAGUGAACGGAGGUGGGAACUCUUUGGAGUGCACCAUCGACCGAUCCUGAUGUCUUCGGAUGGAUUUGAGUAGGAGCAUAGCUGUUGGGACCCGAAA
This 776-nucleotide ribosomal RNA is filed under the name uncultured fungus. Its description in RNAcentral is "eukaryotic LSU rRNA". It matches the Rfam family "Eukaryotic large subunit ribosomal RNA", at positions 30 to 821 of the family's 3401-position model. The record is from RNAcentral. Lineage: Eukaryota; Fungi.